UUUUUUUUUUCUUCUUCCCUUAAACAUAACCUUAAAUUUUAUAAUUUCCAAAAAACUUGAGAAUGUUUUCAUUCUUCCUGUUAGAAAGCAGCAUUAAGAGUUAUCCAUAAAUUGAAAUGAAAUAUUAGGACUCUACAAGGAUUACUGGAAAUUAAGCUAUGUUAACCAAAUUAUUCAUAUUAAUUUCAUGGCAUCAAAAGAACUUAAAAAUUCUUUCCAAACUACAUCAUUUGCUUAAUGUAAUUGUACUAGGAUGGCAGAAAUCACAGCAAAAUUAAACAAAAAAGUACAAGCACAUAUACUCUAUAGCAACUUCGGCAAGUUUAGUUGUUUGGGCUUUCUGCUUUGAAAUAUUAGAGUUAAUGCUUAGAUAUAAGUAAAACAGAGUUUCACAAAACACAUUUUCACAACACCAAAAGACAUAAUUGUCAGUCUGCCAACAAACUGACACCCUAACUGUGCUAUGUAUGAGAUAUUACACAACAAAAAAAUAAUUAUGAGCUUAGUAUAGUUGAAGAAUUAAUUUGAUAUCAUUAAACCUACAUUACUAGCUUGCUUUCUUAUUAAUUAUAAAGACUGGAAAAUAUGCUAUAAAAGUAAUGCAAAUAUUACAUUUGGAAAAUAUUACAUAUGGAAAAUAAUAUAUCACAGGAGUUAUUUUUCCUCAGUUUAAUUUAUCAAGGGCUUUAUAUAGUAUCCAUUUAUUUUUCUCCUUAUUUAUAAAAUAAGGACUUCCAACUAGCCUGAGGCUGGCUGCUUAGCUACUAAAUUUGCAGCAAAAUAAGUAGGAGCUAAGAAACAAUGACCCAUCCACAGACAUGAUCCUCUUGUCAUCUGCAUUACAUGUUAUCUUUUAAACAUUAGGAUCUCAUGUGCAGGAUGCUGUCUCUCACUGUCCCUUUGGUUCUCAGUGUAUGCAACUAAGGAUGCAAUCACCCAAAGCAAAUUAUUAGGGAAUAAUUGCUGAAUAUUUUAAAUACAAAAACAGGAUUGUAUUCUUCUUUUCUAAGUCUUACACAUUCAGUCUGAUAAUAUGAAUCCAAAGUUGUUAGCAUUCUAAAAUAAAACUUUCUGUUUCUACAUUUUUUUUCUGCUCAAAAACAGCAUCCGUCAUUUUGUAUUCUUAAAAACAAUAGAAAUUAACCACCUUAUAUGGUAUCACCAAUGAUAUAUCCAUUGGAACGGAGGAGCAAAGUAUACAGGCAUUUCUGAGAGCCCACAGGGAAUCCAACUGAUGAAACUGUUAAUGAGCAAAAUCAUUCUGGUGUCAUAAACAGGGGAAAAAAAUCCCAAUACAACUGCACUAAAACCAUUUUAUUAUUUAUGACAUUCAUACAAAAUGAAAAAUAAUAAUCAAAGUUUGCACUGUGCAAAGUCACAUGAGCAGGAGAGGAUUACUCCUCCAAGUCUAAUAGAAAGACAUUGUCUACAUCAGAAAGGCUUUUGGCAAUGUCUCCGAAAAGUUCUUCAGAAACAAUCUAAUGGGGCAUAGACUGGAUGAAUAGACAGUGAAGCAGACAUAAAACUGGUGGAAUAGAUGGAUCCAAAGGGAGGUGGUCCGUAGCAUGAAGCCUAGUUGAGGAUAACAUCCAGUUUUGUACCCUAGGCAUCAGCACUAGAUCCAACCAGAUCCAACUGGAUCCAGCUUUGCUCAAUAUUCUCAUUAUUCUGGAUGACAGGGCAGAGCAUAGCUUCAAGAAGUUUGCUAAUGAUUCAAAACUGGAAGGUGUGGUUUAUAUACCCCGGUGUUCAUGCUUCCAUCUAAAGGAAUCUCAAAAGGCUGGAGGAGCAGGCUGACAGGAACCUCCUGCCGUUAAACAAGGAACAGAGCAAUAGCACAGUAGCUGCUGGGGGCCACCCUGCUGGAAAGCAGCUUUUCUUCAAAGGUCCAGGGGGUCCUAGAGAACACAAAGCUGAAGGUGAGCCAGCACUGUGCCCUUAUGGCAAAGAGGGUUCAAGGCCUCUGUGAAGAGAGUUGCUACCAGAUCGAGAGAUGUGAUCCCCUCUGCUCAGCACUGAUGAAGCCAUGUGUGGAGUAUUGUGCCCAGGACAAGAGAAAUAUGUAACUCUUGUAAAUAAUUUAGGAAAGGAUCACUAAUAUGGUCAAGAGUUUGGAGUAUCUCUCAUACAAAGACAGACUGGUAAAGCUGGGACUGUAAAGCCUUGAGAAGACAAGCAAAGAGUUUGGGAUGUCAUAUCAAUCUAUGCAAAUAUCUGCAGGCAUGUUACAAAGAAGAUGGAGUCAGGCUCAUCCCAACAGUGCUGAGAGACAAGAUCAGAGGCAAGGGGUACUAAAACACAAGUGGUCCCUUCGAAUAUCAGGAAACAUUUUCUUCUUGCUGUGAGGGUGAGCGCAGGCACAAGUUGCCUUGAGACAUUGUUGAGGCACCAUCCUUGGACAUACUCAGGGGUCCUCUGGAGGUUGUUCUGAGCAACCUGUUUUAGGUGACCCUGCUUGAGAGGAAGGUUGGACUAGAUGAACUUCAGACGUCCCUUGUAGCCUCAACAAUUCUGUGGGUCUAUAUAAAAACAUACUCAACAAAUAAGUCUAAUUUACAUUUAAUAGAGAUUAAUUCAUCUUUCUUGUGAAAAUAUAUUGAUAAACUAUUGUAUCAUUUAAAAUGCCUGUUUUACAAAACUUCAUAUGCUUGUCAAGGAGCUUCUGUUUUUUGACAUGUCUUUUUAAUACUAAACUUAAACAAAUGAGUCAAAAAACAUUAUUUGUUUUAAAAAAUUCAAAGUUUUAAAAGUUGACACAUGAAAUUAUUAUAAAUCAUGUGUGUUUUCUUUAAAUCCCACUAAAAAAAAACCCUGAUUAUUUUUCAACUCGCUUAUGUUCUGUAGACUACUUUGAGCACUAGUUGUAUACUUUCUUCAUCAUCCUCUGCAAUCUUUUUCUUCCUGGAAUAUAAUUUCUCUAUGGCCCUUUUAGCAUUUCUAGAGUAGCACAGUAACCCUUCUGGUAUUUGUAUAACAGCUGAAAAACAGUCUUAAAUUUGACAAGACCAAAUAAUUUGCUUUUAUUACUUUGCUUACUAAUGAUAGUUAUUUGAAUUCUCAGGAAAAAGCAAAUAAAAUCUGUCUGUUAUAUACAGAAAUUGUUGUUCUAUUAUCAUAUUUCUUUUUCAACAAUGAAAUACAAAACCACCAAGAUUUUCCUUAGAAAGCAUCUGCACUUAAAAGUUAGAAAGAUUUUUUUUUAAAGUACUUUACUUAUACAUCUUAUCCACGUACAUACUUCUGUUUGUCAAAAGUUGUGUCCUAUAAUAUCAAAAGAACAAAGGAUGGCAAGAAGGAGAAAGCUCACAGUGUAGCUUCGUACCUUAUGGUAUGUUUGCUACAUAUAAACAUUCUGCCUCAAAUUCUGCCCUAAAUUACUGCCUAGACCAACAGGAAAUUACUUUAUUCCAAUUUUAGCAUUUCUGUAUGAGCUGCUUUUUAGUAUAUUCAAGACAACAAGUAGUCCAAUGAAUAUUGCAAAUUAGCAAAGCACAUUAUCUUUCAUCCACUAUUAUAGUAGAGUAAUUACUUUAAUGACAAUAAUGGACUAAAAUAUAUAUAUACAAUAAUGGAUUUGUUUCAAGUCUUUGUUCUACAAAUAAUAGAGACUAAUUGCCUUAUGAAAAGAAAUCCAAGUCACAAUUCAACUUUCUUUAAAGAUUGUAAUUAUAAUCCACAUUGUUUCAUGACUCACUUUUUCUAACACAGUGGUGGAAUACCGCUGCUAAGAAAAUCUGAGAUUACUUCUAUAUAGUAUUUUCUCUUCUUUUUGCUGCAGUGCUCUUAGAAAGCCACAUGACACAGCUUCAUAAGUAAAUCUUUAAGGAGGUAGGACUUCACAGCAAGCUCAGUAAGUGGGCUCUAUCCAAAAUGAAAAAUUUAUCGUGAUCACCUACAUAAUUACCUACCUAAUUCUAAUUGUCUAAAACAAUGGAUUACUUUUUCUCUCUCUCAUUGAUGUUACUAUAUCAUUGUCUUACACCAUUUCUAACACUGCACUCCAUUACUAUUAUUAAUGAAUUUUAAUAGUACCACCAGCAUACCCCAAAUACUGCUCAGCCUAACAUCCUUUGUGAAUGAAUUCUUUUAAUCUCUGAAGUCACUAUACCAGUCUUUUACAGCCCCAAAAUAAUUAGCAGAGAAUAUACUUGUAUUCAUACCAGUGACUUGCACCAUAUGAAGAAUAUGUUUCAGUUGCCUGUUGUUGCUUCUUUCCUGAUAAAUUUCACAAAUUCAUAUGAUGAACUAUUUGCACUGGUAGUCCAAAUGACAAACUGAGCUUUGCCAUAUGCUUCCAAACUCAAUCACAGAACUCUAGGCUACGUUCUAGGAUGUUGUAUUUCAAAGCAUCUGGCAAGCCAGAAUGUAUAAAUUGAAGAUCUAGCUAUGAUAGGGUUCAGGCCAGGAAAGUAGAGGCAGCAUAGUAACUAUAAAACUGAAACACUAACAAGUCCUCCUGGAGUUACUGUGGUGUUUUCUCAUAUGCUCAUUUUUACUAUGCAAUAGACAAGAAACAAUGCAAUAUGGCUUUUUAUUCUUAGAAGAGUCAGUUCUCACAUUAACCAAGGCUCUGCACUCAGUGUGAGUGAUGAUUUUUAAAACACAUGACACCUGAGCUUGUCCAACAAAGAUCCUUUUACCAAGGAUUAUCUUCUAUGAUACUUUAGAUUUUAAAAAAGAGAAAAUGGACUCCCCUUCAAACCACACUUUUUCCUUCUUUUUCCUUUAUUUCCUUCUGCUUUACUGUUGGAAACACACUUGUAAUGAGUGAUGUGAUGUAGCUUGGGAAGGCUUCAGGCCUGCUGUCUGAAGUGCAAUGAGAAUCAUUGCAAUUUUUGUCUUUCUUCAGUUCCCAAUAUAAUUUCCCAUUUUUGCAUUCUUACUUAGCAAACAUACAAAAAGACUGCAAAUCUGCUCUGUUCAAACACAUUUCUCAGCAGAGUAACAAGGAGACAGUGAGGCUAAUCUCUAUUACAUUCUUCUCCCUAAAACUUGUUUAGAGUGUCUGUGCAAGCAGCUUCUGUCAGAGGGAGCCAGGGAAGCAACAGCAGAGGAGGACCAAACAGCAAACACAGACCAACUUCCAAAAUGCUGCUCAAAGCACAACAGCAUGUGGCUAAAUAGUUCUGUAUAGCUUUAUAUUGUUUAAUUAUGUGGAAAAAAGACAAUAGAAUACUGGAACAUGGGGGAUCAAUGACAAACACAUGGAAAACAGGAAACAUACUGUAAAUUCACUUUGUUCCAUUAUAACAACUACUUUGUUCCAUCAUAACAAGGGCUGAAGUCAUAACAGAUCAUCAAUUGUUAAUUUUUAAUCAAUUUUUAAUUCAGACAUUCUGACCUGCAAAUAAAUUUUUCAGGAUCUCUAAAUCCAGAAUAUCCUAAUUACAAUAACCAAUGUAGGUUAAAGAGCAUAUGCAGCAGCCAUUGCUGUUUUACAUGGCUUUAAAAAUGACUUGCAAUAAACACAUGAUUUUUAUAUACAUAUAAACAUACAGCUCCAUGGAUUUAUAAGUCAGAUAGAUACAUUUCAAAUUCUCUUUUAAUUUUUCUACUUGAUAGAUUUAGCCCAUAUUCUAAUCAAGCUAUAGACAGUUAAUUUGGUACAAAAAAAUGCAAGAUAAGCAAAAAAAGUACCAGAUAAGGAGAAACAAAAUUGAUAAAAUUAUAUCAUUUAAAAAAGGAUAGCUAUAACUACAUGAACACACAAAACCAUCUGAAAUAUUUCUAGAGGAAAGCAGGUAGAAAGUAGUGAAGUCAGUUACAACAUAAAAUUUUAACCACAUUUUAUGCCUUCAGCAGUAAAUUAAAUUUAAUGUUGUAUUAUAACACAAUCCCAAAAUGUCCUCUACAGUGUGUGAAAAACAUGAUAGUUUUUCAACAAAAUUAAUAUAAUAAACCAUUAGUGAUCGCAAAAAAAAAAAAUCUCUACUCAUCUUUAAUCAGUUUAAAUACUGUGAAAUUCCUGGGAAAUUAUUUUUACCUGACAGCAGGCCACUGCCUGUUUGUUAUUCUUUUGAAUAAAAGAGCCACUUUUUUGUCUUACAUGUUUCUGAUGCAUGUCACACACAUGCAAAGUUAAAGAACAAUUGGCAACAGCAGUGGAAUUUACAUUAUUCCACAAGAAAAAGGGAAAAAAACCACCACAGUCCACACCUGAACCAAUUCCUUCUUAAACAUUCUUAUUCUGACUAUUCAACAACAAACUUUUAACAAAUGCAACAUAUUAUGUCCACAUCCUAAAAAAUUUAAAAUCUUUUGCUUUGUAGUUUUUUAAUACAAGAUAAAUAUAAACACACCUAGGCAAGAGGCACAGCAUGGUAUUUUCAUUUACUUUCUGCAAUACCAAAAAAGGCUAGUUUGAGAUAUAAAACAAGACUAAGAUAUUCCCAAAUCUCUGCUAGUAAGCUUUACCAGCGUUGUAUAUGCCCACCCAGCCCCAACUUAUGCCUGUACUGAAUUCUUGGUCUUAAACACAAAGAAACUUUUAUAUAUCCUUUUAGGAUAGAAAUCAAUCCAAGUAAAAGUAAUAAAUGAGAUCAACAAAGUUAUCAGAGUCAAGUAUUUAAAGCAAAAGUAUCAAGCCGUUUGUGUUCUUGGGAAAGGUUUUCUAGUGAUUAUCCAGGUUACUAUGGGCACCUUUUCUUUUCCUUUUUCUCAUCUCAGUUUGGCCAGUGUUGUUAUAAGUAACAAAGAAUGUUAAGAUAUGAUGUUGCUUACAUUGAAAGCAACUGUAAAAUCUAUCAAAAGAUGAAUUAGUCAGUGUCCCCUUGGGAUGAUCAAUGAUAGUAAUUCAAAAGAAUUUGAGGCUGAUGAAAUACUGUCUAGCAGGCAAAUAAACAGUAUUCAGGAUAUUUGCAAAUGACAGCCAGUUCAGCUGAGCAAGAGAAGUCUUCACAGAACUGUUAUUAAUUACUGAAAAGCAAUAAAAGGAAAAGUUUCCUGCCGUUGAUACACUUAUGGGUUGGGGAGUAAUUUCAGCCACAUAUGAUACCUGAUAUUAACAGUUCUAAAAAUACCUUUUCUAUUUGGGAACCCUCCAGGUAGCGCUGGUUGUAUACAGAGAUACAAACUCUCCAGUCACAGGCACACAUAGACACAGACUCACUGGGCUGGAGUAUAAAUUGACCUAGCUGAGUUUUUUACUCUCUGACAGAAGCUACUAACAGGUGCUCAUGGAAAAUGUGAAAACAGGGCCUCAAAACAGAAUGACAUUCCUGUCAGAAUAUGGAAAGAUGAAGUUGUGGUUAAAUACACAUCAUCAUUAUGCCGAAUAGCUCUCAACAGGCUUUUAUCCUUGGAUUUUACCUAAAAAUAUGUGAUUCCACAUAUACUUUGACAUUCACAUAAAUACAUUUAUUAUGCUGAGAAAAAAUAAUUUAUUUGAAACCUGAUGCCUGAUCAGUACUGUGUGAUCUGGUUCUUGCAUGAGAAAUAACUAGUGACUUUUUCAGAUUCCCUCACCAUCUCACAUCUGUGUAUAUUUUCAUAGAAACCCAAGCUCUUUUCCAAACUGAGGCACUUUAGUCUAUCUGACCAAUCUUUGUUUUUUUCACUAUUUCUUUUCAAAUAACUCCUAACAAGCUCAUCAUCUUUUAAGACUCCUGCUUAGCACCAAGAUGAUAUUUUCAAACAACUACCCACAAUGAUUGUUAGAACCCAGGAGUGUUAUUUAAGAUCCAUUGUUAGCUAUGCAUAGCUAAAGUUGGUUUUUACCCUCUUGUAUUUAUUGCCAGUGAGCUUUCCUCAACAUGUUUCUUUGCAUGGAAUCACUAUUGCUUGAUAGCCUUGACUCUAGGAGCUCUAAAAGGAUACAAUAAAAAAAGCUAUUCUGAAAUCCAUAUAUAAAAAAAUAACUGGAUCAUGUUACUUACAUUUGCUAACUCAUUAAAAAAAAUCCUUAAAAAAAAAAAAAAAAGAAAAA
Taeniopygia guttata (zebra finch) is the source of this 7924-nucleotide long non-coding RNA. Lineage: Eukaryota; Metazoa; Chordata; Aves; Passeriformes; Estrildidae. The record is from Ensembl.